Molecule: ribosomal RNA, 253 nt
Filed under: uncultured bacterium
Lineage: Bacteria
Description: partial 16S ribosomal RNA
Rfam family: Bacterial small subunit ribosomal RNA
Source: RNAcentral
UACGUAGGGUCCAAGCGUUAAUCGGAAUUACUGGGCGUAAAGCGUGCGCAGGCGGUUUUGUAAGCCAGAUGUGAAAGCCCCGGGCUUAACCUGGGAAUGGCAUUUGGGACUGCAAAGCUGGAGUACGGCAGAGGGAGGUGGAAUUCCACGUGUAGCAGUGAAAUGCGUAGAGAUGUGGAGGAACACCGAUGGCGAAGGCAGCCUCCUGGGCUAGUACUGACGCUCAUGCACGAAAGCGUGGGGAGCAAACAGG